This 462-nucleotide ribosomal RNA is filed under the name Enterococcus casseliflavus. Its description in RNAcentral is "bacterial SSU rRNA". It matches the Rfam family "Bacterial small subunit ribosomal RNA", at positions 28 to 465 of the family's 1533-position model. The record is from RNAcentral. Lineage: Bacteria; Bacillati; Bacillota; Bacilli; Lactobacillales; Enterococcaceae.
GACGAACGCUGGCGGCGUGCCUAAUACAUGCAAGUCGAACGCUUUUUCUUUCACCGGAGCUUGCUCCACCGAAAGAAAAAGAGUGGCGAACGGGUGAGUAACACGUGGGUAACCUGCCCAUCAGAAGGGGAUAACACUUGGAAACAGGUGCUAAUACCGUAUAACACUAUUUUCCGCAUGGAAGAAAGUUGAAAGGCGCUUUUGCGUCACUGAUGGAUGGACCCGCGGUGCAUUAGCUAGUUGGUGAGGUAACGGCUCACCAAGGCAACGAUGCAUAGCCGACCUGAGAGGGUGAUCGGCCACACUGGGACUGAGACACGGCCCAGACUCCUACGGGAGGCAGCAGUAGGGAAUCUUCGGCAAUGGACGAAAGUCUGACCGAGCAACGCCGCGUGAGUGAAGAAGGUUUUCGGAUCGUAAAAACUCUGUUGUUAGAGAAGAAACAAGGAUGAGAAGUAAAAC